AAAAACUAGGAUUAGAUACCCUAUUAUUUAAAAUGUAAAUAAAUUACUAAAGUAGUAAUAGUUAUGUUCUUGAAACUUAAAAAAUUUGGCGGUAUUUUAGUCUAUCCAGAGGAACCUGUUUUGUAAUCGAUAAUCCACGAU
RNAcentral lists this ribosomal RNA (141 nucleotides) under Drosophila erecta. RNAcentral describes it as "12S ribosomal RNA". Lineage: Eukaryota; Metazoa; Arthropoda; Insecta; Diptera; Drosophilidae. The record is from RNAcentral.